Cercocebus atys (sooty mangabey) is the source of this 717-nucleotide long non-coding RNA. RefSeq lists it as uncharacterized. The record is from RefSeq and is a predicted model, not a curated record. NCBI's taxonomy places the organism in Eukaryota, Metazoa, Chordata, Mammalia, Primates, Cercopithecidae. The transcript has 3 exons.
UCAGCUUCUCUACAGCAUCCUGUUUUAUUGGAGGAGUCUUGUAUCCUGUGUCUUAGGAAACCAGUGCCGCCAAACUCCUAUCUCUCACCUGUGCCCACUGCAUAUCCGCAGCUUACCAGCAGGAGGAGAGAAUGAACAUAACACAAACAGCAGCAAGGGAGGAGAUCAAAGCAGCUGCAUCAUCUCAUUAACCUUCACUCAGCAUUCCUGGAGGAGAUUGCCAGGUAUUGAGUCUGAUUUGCCUACCACAAGAUGAAGGGCACAUGUGGCGGAGGAGAAACAGAAGUUCGGAUUGGGAAGUCCAAGAGUCAUCUGGAGGUGCCCUAAGACUGCAGCUUUGGGUAACAGACAUCCUGAAACCUGGCUUGCCUGCCACUGAACACCACAUGCAAAUUCAAGCCCAGUGAAUAUGUGUGGUCUCAACUGAAACAAAAAAAAAAAAAUUUUUUUAAGAAACAAUACAGAUUUAGGCCCUCACAAUUCUCUCAGCAACUGUAAUGGGUUGAAUGGUGGUCCCGAACAUUAUGUCCAUUUCCUAACCCCUGGAACCUGUGACUGUGACCUUCUUUCAAAAAAGGGUCUUUGCAGAAGUAAUGAAGAGAUCAGAUCAUUCUGGGUUACCCAGGUAGGCACUGAAUUUAAUGACGAGUACCCUUGUGAGAGACAGAAGAGAAGACACAUGCGGAGGAGGGGCUGUGGCCACUGAGGCAAGCUGGA